UACGAAGGACCCGAGCGUUAUCCGGAUUUAUUGGGUUUAAAGGGUGCGUAGGCGGAUUAGUAAGUCAGUGGUGAAAGCCCAUCGCUUAACGGUGGAACUGCCAUUGAUACUGCUAGUCUUGAGUAUGGUUGAGGUGGGCGGAAUGUGUCAUGUAGCGGUGAAAUGCUUAGAUAUGACCCAGAACACCAAUUGCGAAGGCAGCUCGCUAAGCCAUAACUGACGCUGAUGCACGAAAGCGUGGGGAGCAAACAGG
RNAcentral lists this ribosomal RNA (253 nucleotides) under uncultured bacterium. Its description in RNAcentral is "partial 16S ribosomal RNA". It matches the Rfam family "Bacterial small subunit ribosomal RNA", at positions 524 to 776 of the family's 1533-position model. The record is from RNAcentral.